UUCUUCUUUCGCGAGAGCUCUCUUUGCUAGACCAUGUGCAUGUGUAUUCUCUGAUCUAUGUAUGUGUUUUAAAGUAAGAUCUUGAAAAAAGGAUUUCUUGUUCUGAAUAUCUUUAAUAAUGGCACCUAUUACCGAUUUAUCUGUUGACAUCGCCUUGCUCUUCUUUAUGACGGUUUUUGAGUCUCCCAUAAUUCUAAUUGACUGAGAUCCUAAAGCAAUCCCUAAUUUCAUGCCUUCUAAACAUGCAUAUGCCUCUGCUGCGAAUGGUGAGGGAACAUUUCUGUGGAUAACCGUUUUUAUCACCAGUAGAUUUCCCCUCAUAUCCCAACCAACUAGUCCUGUCGCUGAUUUGAAGGUUCUACUAUCCAGUGUUGCAUCAAAUUUGAUCGAUAUUCUCGGUACGUUUUCCUGUAUACUGUGACUCUUGAAAAUUUUUUUCUCAAUUUUCUUCUCAGCAUUUAUUCCCUCAUAUUCUACCAUAUGUCUUUGAAUAUUCUGAGCUAAUCCCCUUCCUGUUGAAUUUUUGCCCUCGUGAAUGAGUUUGUUUCUAAAGGACCAUAUCAACCAUAACGCAUAGCAGAAAAGCCGACACUGGUAAUUGUUGUUGUUCUUGAAAACCCAGGACACUCUCGGAAAACAUGAAGACUCUCUUCUACUCCAAAAUAACAUCGUGGACAGCGGGCAGUUGAACUAACCCUCCUCAACCUGAGAUUACCAAAGUGAGGGAUAUAAUCCCAUGAAAUCCUCCAGAUUGUAAUUGCAAUUUUUGAAGGCAAUUGUAGGCUCCAUAAUUUUUUGUAAAAAUUUCUUAUUUCGGUCUGUAAUAGGUAGUCAUUAGCUGUAGAAGCAUCUUGUAGUAGUUUAUACGCACUACGUACUGAAAACUCACCAGAUAGUUCUCCACUCCACACCUGAAUAUCCUCAUGUUCGGUCUCUGCCAGAGGAAUUUGUAGAAUCUUCCGAGCAGUAUCUUCUUGAAAGCCACCUUGUCAAUCCCCUGAAUCCAGUUGUCUUCCCAGAUAGAAAUGCUACUCCCUUUACCAACUCUCCAACCCAAUCCUCUUUGGAGAAGUCCUUUUGCCCCCCAGAUGCUCUUCCAGGUAAAUGAAGACAAAAAGAUAGGACGUCAUCCCCAACAAUCUGCCAACACUUCUGAUAGAAUAAUGCUGGAAACCCAUCCUCCCCUGGUGCUUUUGUAGGUCCCAUUUCAAAAACAGCUUCUCUAAUUUCCUCUCUGGAAUAUGGUUCUGUAAGUUUUCGGUUGUCAUCCGCAUGAAUGCAGCGUUCUAUCCCUGAUAGAAUAUGAUCAUAAUUCCCAUUCUCUCUUGCCGAAAAUAAAUUCUGAAAAUAAGACUUAGCCACACCCUCAAUGUCUUGAAUGAGCUCCAUUUCUCUACCCUCUUCAUCUUUCAGCUUAUGAAUGAUAUUCUUUUUUCUCCGUUGUGAAGCUUGGCUAUGAAAGAAAGCAGUAUUUUUGUCCCCUAAUUUCAACCAGUUAAUUCUAGCUCUCUGUUCCCAAUAGCAUUCGUCCUUCUCAAUCUCAAAAUUCAAGUUUAUUUUUGUAUCAAUCAAUUCAGCUAAGGUCUCUUCAUUUCUGGUUGCUUCAGCUAACUCGCCAAGUUUCUUCGUAAGCAUCUGUUUUGUCUUCUGCCUAUUUUUUUAACUGCCCAGCCCAAAUCUGCAAUCCUUUCUUUAAAUUAUCUAGCCUCUUUAAUAUUUCCUCUGACGAAUUCUCCCAUAGUUUUUUGACUUCUUCCAUGAAAGAUUCUUCCAACAGCCACCAUGCUUCAAAUCUGAAAUUGUUAUCCCUUACUCGUUCUGCAAAUCUCCUGGUAUUAAUAAGAAGAGGACAAUGGUCUG
Long non-coding RNA from Gossypium raimondii (Peruvian cotton), 1860 nucleotides. RefSeq lists it as uncharacterized. NCBI's taxonomy places the organism in Eukaryota, Viridiplantae, Streptophyta, Magnoliopsida, Malvales, Malvaceae. The transcript is spliced from 4 exons. The record is from RefSeq and is a predicted model, not a curated record.